AUCUUUUACUACCAGAGCAAUGUGCGUCCACUAGCCGGGGCACAGGAGAAGGAUGUUGCCGAGGGUUGAGGCUUUCAUCAAACUGGCGGAACGAUUUUUGACGCGGCAACCGAAGCAAAUCGGGCGCCAACGCCUACACACACACACACACACACCAACAUCCUCGGUUACGUACGGAAACAGGUGUGGAUGCCUGUUUUCCCUCACUGCAGAUAACGCUCUGCGCUGUGGUGACACACGCACGUGUUUUUCCGUGUGUUUGUGUGUGUGUGUGCCUUUUUGGGUAAGCGGGAUGUGGUGAUAAUUUUAUUGUCUUUCAUGCCUUCGUGAUGAUUUAUGUUUUUUGCCCUCGCCUUUUUUCUGCUUCGUGUGGUCUAGAGGGUGGGUGAGAGGGAAGGAGGGGGAGAGUGUUGCGAAGGGGGGCACACACAAUACAACAGGAUGCUGCCUGCACGCAUAUACGCGAGAAAUACGCGAAACGCUUGUGUACGAGAUGCGUAUGUGUUGCUCCCCAGCAGGCUAAUGACAGUACCGGUGACAGUAAACAUUUCUCCUGUCAAACGCGGAGAUGUUUUGCAAGCGAAGGUUCCUGUGAUGGUCGCUUGUAACCUCCGUUAUCAGCAUCAUCCGCAUGGCAUCAUCGUAAAGGUUACAAACGCACACCUCUUAUCACCAUCGAGUGCGUGUGUGUGUCUGUGUCGGUCCGAUCUUUCUAUUGCUUGUUAUCGGGCUUGUAAUAUCUGGUCGUAUCUGCCAUAAACGACACUCGGGCGGCAGCGAUCGAUCAACAUCGACGGGAAUCGCUGCCAGCCGCUGUAAUUGAUCAAUCAAACGAUGCCCAGGGGUCCGCCCGUGCUUUUUUCCCCUUGAUGGAGGCGCCCAGCCAGCACUGCGAUCCGGCGGUGUAAACGUGCGCAACAGGUCAGUACCGAGCAUGCGAGCACACACACACACACGCACCCAGCAAAAGGGGAAAACGGCGGCUUUUCCUGCAGCCCCUCCCAGAUGAAUUAUCAAACCUUUGCCCCACUCGUCCUAAAAACCCGGGGCAGAAGGUUUACAAAUUUGCUGACGCAAAAUGGUCCGGCAGCUCAGCUCGCCGUGACGGUGGGAAAGGUUGGCGUGAUAACCUUAUUUUAGAUUCCAGGGUAAGCCACGCUCAAUGACAUACAUAUACAAGCGCAGCGCUGCAUCCGUAUACCGACACACACACACACACGCUUGUAUACUGGGGUGUUCUCUUCUCAUAGCGUUUUCCAUUCCCUUCUGCUCUAAGCUGCUGCUGUGUGGCAGGAGUCGGCAAAAACAACACACCACUAAAAAAAACCCACAAAAUGAGAUUCCGCAUCUCGGCCGAAAUGUUGACCAAAGCCAGGCUUAUCCUUCGUGCAGGGGUUUUUCUCUCGAAGGUACGAAUCAGCGAGUGAGCGAGCCUCCCGUUCCGGUCGGGGAGUGUGCGGGAUUCGAUGUAAACAAUUCUCACGCGCGGUUCCGGCCACCUUCCAAUACACAUGCACCAAUGCAAAUGAGCAGCAAUGCAUUCGAUGGGGGGAGCAUGGAUUUUUUUUGUUACUAAUGGGAAUGUUAAGUAAUGGACGGUUUUAUUUGGAUGAAUUUAGAAUAACUGAAGCUAAAAAAAAAAAUUACUGCUGGUAAUUUAAAUUUUCUGUCAUCCUGAACAAGUCUUGGAUAAGAAUUGUUUAUGCGAGGAUAUCUUAGUGUAAUGGGAUUCUAUUCGAACCUUGAAGGAGGCACUAGAUCUCGUAUCGCGCCAAGAGAUCAGACUAUUGAGGAAAUCAAUUCAAGACAGCCAGAAAUGGCAGACCAAGACCUCUCGGAGUUGUAGAGCUAAAGAAGAAGAUUUAGAGUAUUGUACAUGACUCUAUGUACCUAAAUGAUAAGCUUAUCAAAACUUUGAGUGAAAUCGAUGCAAAUUUUUUUUAUUUACAAAGGGUUAUCUUGACACUUACAGACUACAUAACUAAUAUUAUCACUAAUAUUAGCUUAGCAUCUACAAACCUGAAGACCGGUAACAUGCUAAGAAAUAUAAAAAAAUAUAAAUAAUAAGACAAACU
Molecule: long non-coding RNA, 2075 nt
Organism: Anopheles stephensi (Asian malaria mosquito)
Lineage: Eukaryota; Metazoa; Arthropoda; Insecta; Diptera; Culicidae
Exons: 2
Source: RefSeq, a predicted model, not a curated record